UACGUAGGGAGCAAGCGUUGUCCGGAAUCAUUGGGCGUAAAGCGCGCGUAGGUGGCUUCGUAAGUCCGUUGUGAAAGUCAAAGGCUCAACCUUUGAAAGCCGAUGGAUACUGUGAAGCUAGAGUACGGAAGAGGCGAGUGGAAUUCCUGGUGUAGCGGUGGAAUGCGCAGAUAUCAGGAGGAACACCGGUGGCGAAGGCGGGUCUCUGGGCCGAUACUGACGCUGAGGAGCGAAAGCGUGGGGAGCGAACAGG
This 253-nucleotide ribosomal RNA is filed under the name uncultured bacterium. RNAcentral's name for it is "partial 16S ribosomal RNA". It matches the Rfam family "Bacterial small subunit ribosomal RNA", at positions 524 to 776 of the family's 1533-position model. The record is from RNAcentral.